GCACCCGAUGUGGACAUGGAAGGUGAGAUCCACGACCAUGGAAGGCGAGAUCCAUGGCCAUGGAAGGCGCGUCCCCUUCCAUACUUGGCGGCCAUGGCAUGCACGUGCUCCCUUCCCCGCCUCAAUCGACUGCUAUUUUGAGGAUGGACAGAGGCGAGGCCUCCAAACCAUCCCCACUCUCCUCCCAUGCGUCGCUUCGUGUUAUCUCCAGCACAUUUGCUCAUGGCUCCCGGUUCUAGAUCUGGAGUUCUCCACCGCCACCAGCACGGCCGUAGACGCGGAAGCAAGGGGGUUGGGCUUCUGUCGGUGCUGGACAGCGCGAUGUCAAACGUGCCAGCCACUCUUCGCCAUGUUAGUAGAAAAAAUAAAUGACGAUUUAAAAGAGUAAGCCAACAUGCAUAACAAAUUGUUAGAUGCGUACUAAAUUAAUAAACCGUUGCUAAUAAAUUAGUACUUUAAAAGGGUAUGCUAAAAAUAAUAUAAUUAAUUCUAGUUUCUGAGCCCUACUCAUUUUAAUAGCUUACAUUUAAAUUUACGAUAAACUUAGUUUCUACGCCCCACACAUUUUAAUACGACGUCCCACACAUAUAAUCUGUUAAAGGGAUUCCUCUACACUCACACGACGUACUAAGUAGAGGCGGUUGAAUAUGACCAGCUAGACUAUAAUUUAUAGCUUUAUUGUGUAAUAGACCACACCGGGUAAAAAAACAACAGAUCGAGAUAAAGAAAAUGAUGAUUUAUUUGAGUCUCUGACACUAAAUAGAUGGUUGCAAUAUUAAAUUCGCAUCGACUUGUGAACUUAAUGACCAAUAUUUCAAAUUAUUUAAAUUCUAAAAUAGUAAUUUAUAAAAUAAAAUUUGUCGUAGGGGCUAGAUCCUAAUUAAACCUAGAUAUUAGAGGAUAGAAUAAAGUUUGUACCAUGGACGAUGGCCACGACGAACUUGGACGAUGGCAACGACGAACUUGGACUAUCGCAAACAGAGGGUGCGACUUUCGGCGUUGCGAACAGAGGGCGCACGUCUAGCAUGCAGAAAGGAACAAGCGAUGCAAAAAGGAGAAGCGAGCAAGGGAUGUG
This 1075-nucleotide long non-coding RNA is filed under the name Zea mays. RNAcentral's name for it is "long non-coding RNA (ZMAY_LNC002221)". The record is from RNAcentral. Lineage: Eukaryota; Viridiplantae; Streptophyta; Magnoliopsida; Poales; Poaceae.